CCUGGCUGAGGCCAUUACCCCUGGAGAGCAAGCUUUACUCCAGCCCCAUCCUGUAUUGACUGACUAUAAGGCCAUAGCUGCAAGGCGUGGUGGCGCAUGCCUUCAAUCCCAGCACUCAGGAGGCAGAGGCAGGUGGAUCUCUGAGUUCAAGACCAGCCUGGUCUACAGAGUGAGUUCCAUGACAGUUGAGGCUACACAGAGAAACCCUGUCUUAAAAAAACAACAGAACUGGAGAGAUGGCUCAGAGGUUAAGAGCACUGGCUGUUCUUCCAGAGGUCCUGAGUUCAAUUCCCAGCAACCACAUCUUGGUUCACAACCAUCUGUAAUGAAAUCUGGUGCCCUCUUCCAGUCUUCAGGGAUGCAUGCAGGCAGAACACUGUAUGCAUAAUAAAUAAAUAAAUCUUAAAAAGGAAAAGAAAAGAAAAGGCAAG
Peromyscus eremicus (cactus mouse) is the source of this 431-nucleotide long non-coding RNA. RefSeq lists it as uncharacterized. Lineage: Eukaryota; Metazoa; Chordata; Mammalia; Rodentia; Cricetidae. The record is from RefSeq and is a predicted model, not a curated record. The transcript has 2 exons.